This 1675-nucleotide long non-coding RNA is filed under the name Vulpes vulpes (red fox). Its description in RNAcentral is "lncRNA (ENSVVUG00000013176.1)". Lineage: Eukaryota; Metazoa; Chordata; Mammalia; Carnivora; Canidae. The record is from RNAcentral.
AUGACCACCAGUGCAGGAUCUGCGGGUAGGAGACGUGGCGGUGCCUUUAAGAGCAGCCGCGGUAAUUUUCCACGGCCCGGACAGCCCCGCCCACGCGGCAGCCGGCGGGGGUGCGUCCGAGUGCGGCUGCGCGCCGCGCCGCGCGCGCCUCCCGUUGCCUGGAUACCGCCUCCUCCGCCCGCGGCCGCCGAAGGCCUUUUGUUUCCAAGAUGGCCUCCGAGCUCUGUGUCAAUGCGCCCGGAACAAAGCCCAUUGACCAGCCUUCAGCUUAGCGGAAAGCAAGCGUCGUAUGGCUGGCUUCAAGAGUGUUCCAUGUCAAUAUUUAUUUACUCUUAUAGACUUUCUGGCCCAGGGUCUCCAGCUCCUCAGACAGCUAUAAAACAGAGCAGAGCCCAGAUUUGGAGAACCAGACACCAGCUUUGAACCCCAGUCCUGUCAUGACCACCAAAACCCCAGCCCUCAGGUAGUUAUUCAAUCUCUCUUCUCUCCUGUAUUCUCUUCCGGGAAAUGGGCCUAUUAGGCACAGAUGCCUCCAGGGGUAGGUGGGUGGGCAGGUACACUGUAGUAAUGAAGGCCCAAGUACACGGAGUGCCAGCUGCCUUCCCGACAUCAAGCUCACAGGCUUGCAUGCUCUCACUCCAUCCUUGUGAUGGCUCUAGGAGCUGGACGUUAUUAUGGGCCUCAUUUUAGAAAUGUGGGAAUGGAGAUGUGGGGUGGUGAAGUCACUUCUGCAGGUGGUGCAGCUGGGAAUGGUGGAGGCAGGCCAGGCCCCCAAUUGCUGUGCUGCUCUGGGCGCUGUGCCUGCUACCAACCCUGCACAGUGUGACUAAACAGGCUUGCCAAUGUUGGGUUCUUGCAAGGUCAAGGUGGGACAGCUCAUGUGAAAGUGCUAAUACCUACCAGGUCUUUAAAAGCGUUUGCUGAACGACUAACAAAUGUUGGUGAGCUCACCAAAUACUUGUUAUGUUCUUCAGCUGUUUUCUCUAAUUGUUAAUUCCAUAGAAGCUUCCCUCUGAUAGGGAUAACCAUGGCGGAGGUAGGGGGCAAUCUCCCUCAGCCUGUAUUAUACAAAUGUCAGGUUUAACAAACAAAUUACAAGGCAGUUGAUUUUCUUUGUUUCUGACCUCAUAUUACAGCAACAUUGAACUUAUUUUUAUUUUUUUAUUCAUUUACUCAAGAGAGACAGAGAGGUAGAGACAUAGGUAGAGGGAGAAGUAGGCUCCCCAUGGGGAGCCUGAUAUGGGGCUCGAUCCCAGAACCCCAGGAUCACAACCUGAAGUGAAUGCAGAUGCUCAACCACUGAGCCAUCCAGGCAUCCCAAACCUAUUAUAUUUUUUGCCUGUGAUCAUACAACAGAGAAGCAGAUGAUAAAUGUCAGGAUCUAGGGCAAGCCCUUCCUCUCCUGCCUGUUCCAAGCUGGUACUGGGCUUCUCUAGUGUGCCAAAAGUAAUCCAACACACAGAGCUGUCCUGGGAGCACAGGGCUGGGAGCCUCUUCACUUUCCUUGCCUUUGAUUAAGGCCUCUCCACAGACUGGUUGCUGUGGCUGUUUUCCACCUGUUGUGAUAUACUUCCCUUUCAAAACUUGUAAACUAAUAAUCCUAUGAAUUUAUCUCUAAAUGCAACAAAGAAGAUACAUAGAAUAAAGCAAGGCCACAUAUAGAAAAGUACUUUCA